UCAAGGUGGCCCUGUCUGAAUUCAGGUAUGGCACCUGAACUAUUUUCUUCUAACAAAGAAAACUGACCACAGUUUCUGCAAGGUUGUGAAAGCAAUGAUUCUGCUACUACUGGCCAAAUGAAGAUACAUAAAGGAAAACACACACACAUAGAUCAAAUAAUGUUAUUCUCAAAAUUAAUAUAAUCACCCACAAUUGACAUUCCCUUGGCCAGUUACAAAUUGUAGUGGAUUCUAAUCAUCAUAUAUUCUCAGAGAUACACAAGCAUG
This 267-nucleotide long non-coding RNA is filed under the name Trifolium pratense (red clover). RNAcentral describes it as "long non-coding RNA (TPRA_LNC010715)". The record is from RNAcentral. Lineage: Eukaryota; Viridiplantae; Streptophyta; Magnoliopsida; Fabales; Fabaceae.